UAGUAAACAUGGCUGCGUGAGGUCGUCAGUAAACAUAGCUGCGCCUAUGACGAUGCUGCAGGCAGCUGCCACGCAAGACUAAAUAAGCGCGCUGUGUUUGCUGAGGUGAUCUUGAUCGUGAAAAACGCUUUCCGAACAUUUGGAGGGACGCGUGGAAACUUCCAAGUCUGCCGAGAAACGCUGUGAGCGUGCCUCUACCGAAGCUGCACUUCACUGCCGCCGGCAGUGUUGGUCCGCUUUCAACGACUGCAGGAGACACGCAGAAGUGGACCGUCGUAUCCAGUAAAGAUUAAGAAGACGUUGAGAUGCUGGUCUCGGACCUUGCUGGGAAAUUCCUUGGGCCCUUUGGAACACUGCUAGCUCUAGCUCCUUGGAAAACAAAACAAAAACAUCAUUACACCUCAGGUUGACAGGCUGGCCCCUGAAGCAAUGUGGAUCAGUGACCGGAGCAGGGAUGCUGCCGCGUACUGCUGCUUGGCUCAGUGUGGACGAGUGCUGCAAUAAGGACACCAUCCGCCUUUGUGGACUUUUUCUGAAGGCGUUUAGUACACAUAAUUACUCAUUCUACUUGACAAGAAACUGUUGUGCAACAUAACCUUUGCUAACAUUUGAAAAUGCAAAAUGAAUCUAUCAAUUGCCAAAGCAAACCUGCUCCCAUGGAGACUUCAUAUUUACUUUGAAUAAAAAAAAAUCACAAAUACA
Molecule: long non-coding RNA, 702 nt
Organism: Rhipicephalus microplus (southern cattle tick)
Lineage: Eukaryota; Metazoa; Arthropoda; Arachnida; Ixodida; Ixodidae
Source: RefSeq, a predicted model, not a curated record